This 384-nucleotide ribosomal RNA is filed under the name uncultured bacterium. RNAcentral describes it as "bacterial SSU rRNA". It matches the Rfam family "Bacterial small subunit ribosomal RNA", at positions 30 to 406 of the family's 1533-position model. The record is from RNAcentral.
AGUGAACGCUGGCGGCAGGCCUAACACAUGCAAGUCGAGCGGCAGCACGGCAAUAGCAAUAUUGUGGGUGGCGAAGCGGCGGACGGGUGAGGAAUGCAUCGGGAUCUACCCUGUCGUGGGGGACAACGUAGGGAAACUUACGCUAAUACCGCAUGAUCUGGAGACAGCAAAGCCGGGGACCUUCGGGCCUGGCGCGAUGGGAUGAGCCGAUGUCCGAUUAGCUAGUUGGCGGGGUAAAGGCCCACCAAGGCGACGAUCGGUAGCUGGUCUGAGAGGACGACCAGCCACACUGGAACUGAGACACGGUCCAGACUCCUACGGGAGGCAGCAGUGGGGAAUAUUGGACAAUGGGGGGCAACCCUGAUCCAGCCAUGCCGCGUGGGU